RNAcentral lists this ribosomal RNA (253 nucleotides) under uncultured bacterium. RNAcentral describes it as "partial 16S ribosomal RNA". It matches the Rfam family "Bacterial small subunit ribosomal RNA", at positions 524 to 776 of the family's 1533-position model. The record is from RNAcentral.
UACGUAGGGUGCGAGCGUUAAUCGGAAUUACUGGGCGUAAAGCGUGCGCAGGCGGUUUUGUAAGCCAGAUGUGAAAUCCCCGGGCUUAACCUGGGAAUGGCAUUUGGGACUGCAAGGCUUGAGUGCGGCAGAGGAGACUGGAAUUCCUGGUGUAGCAGUGAAAUGCGUAGAUAUCAGGAGGAAUACCGAUGGCGAAGGCAGGUCUCUGGGCUGACACUGACGCUCACGCACGAAAGCGUGGGGAGCAAACAGG